This 253-nucleotide ribosomal RNA is filed under the name uncultured bacterium. Its description in RNAcentral is "partial 16S ribosomal RNA". It matches the Rfam family "Bacterial small subunit ribosomal RNA", at positions 524 to 776 of the family's 1533-position model. The record is from RNAcentral.
UACGAAGGGGGCUAGCGUUGUUCGGAAUUACUGGGCGUAAAGCGCACGUAGGCGGAUUGUUAAGUCAGAGGUGAAAUCCCGGAGCUCAACUUCGGAACUGCCUUUGAUAUUGGCAAUCUAGAGUCCGGAAGAGGUUAGUGGAAUUCCCAGUGUAGAGGUGAAAUUCGUAGAUAUUGGGAAGAACACCAGUGGCGAAGGCGGCUAACUGGUCCGGUACUGACGCUGAGGUGCGAAAGCGUGGGGAGCAAACAGG